UUAGAAGAAGGAUAAGGGCUCCCCUGACCUGGGACAGCCCCAUGAAGUCACUCUGGAGUUGCUUUAUGGACCUUGGCCUGUCUUCUUUGGGCUAUUCACUAAUUCCAGUGUUGUUGUGGAGAGCAGGAGGUGAGGAGGGGAAGCAUAUCCUUCGCUAAAUAUAGACUGCAGAUUAGAGAAACUAAUUAAUAGCCUUGACAUUUCUAGGACAGAAAUCUUUUCCACUGGGAAUUAAUCUGGAUUUCUGCACCCUGCCUAUUGUAUUUCCAAUUCUUGAUAUAUGUUCACAACUGGAUCAGAUGUUGUAGAAGAAGAGAAGUUUUCUUCAUUGAGACAUAUGCCCAAGUGAAUCCAUUAUCAUCUAUUACAUGGCUGUAGCCUGGCUUUACAGAGGACAAAAUAUUGUACGAAUAGAGCUACCCUGGUAAGGCUGUGAUACCUGGCAUUGUGAUUAUAUUACUUCAGUUUCUUCCUUAUCAGACAACUCUGACCCCAUAAUAAGGUGGAGAGUAUAUCACUAGAUUAUAUGCACACAGGAAAGCAGAAAGAAAUCUCUGGAUUUCUUUUUCAUACACACCUUUUGUUCAUAUACAUACUGUGAUAUGUCUCAUAAUAAGUGAAAAGAGUAUGAAGCAAACUAAUUAUUUCUCAUUAACCUUAGUAGGAAGACAGUGCAAUUACACAUGUAUUUGUUAGAAAGAGAAACUCUUGUCCUAUUGAGAAUCAUAAUGUGUGAAUCAUUUAAGCAGUCAAGUUUGAGAAAAUUAUUUAUACUGUAGGAGUUUAGUUGUUUUUUAUUUUCACAGUUACUUGAACAAUUUAGUACUAUAUAGUGUAAUAACAUAUGCCAAAUUAAAUGGCAUGUAUUUGCUGUUAUCAGUGCACCCUCUGUACUUAAUUUAUUGGAUGAUUUCCCAUGUUAACUCAUGUUUACAUAGAUAGCAAUUAUUUUUUCUAGUAACAUAUACUUAAGGAUUCUUCAUAAGAGUAUAUUCAAUCUGGAUUUAUAUUAUGCAUAAUACAAAUUUUUUAUUUAUGUUGGUAUCCCUGGCAACACAGCACAGUGUCUGGCAUGCAGACCUGGGCUGAAUCAUGCUUUAGUUCUGAGUCAAAAACCAAUGAAUAGGAGCUUUUGCAAACUUGUUGAGUAGCUUCUGUUUUCUGUUCAAUCCUGGGGUCUUCAUCACAUCAUAAACAAGUGUGGAGAGAUGCUUCAAAGUUAGCACAGCAUAUUUUUGGUUAUUUUAUACCAAUAUUUCCACUUAGUGUAUCUUGUUAGUAUAUCUACCAUGGCCUCAUAAUAAAUUUGAUGGUGAUGAGAAGAUGAAGAUCUUGUUUUAGUUUAUAAAUAAAGUAGUCAAUCACAUUAGUUCCUUAUCUGCAUUAAAGAUUACCUUUUGCAAAAAUUUUGUUUAGGGACUCAGCAUUAAUAUUUAUAAACUAAUAAAUGACAAAAUAAAUCAAGAAAAUAUUUCCUUUCAUAAUUUCGGCCAUCCCCAUGAUUGCUGUUCAUGUUUGAAGGAGCAAGGGCUGUGAUGUUCUUUAUAAUUAGAAUGCAUAUAGCCUUCCUCUUUUUCCUCUGUCCAUCUGCAUUUCUCACUGUCUGUGCUGCUUGUAUAUUGCCUGAGCUGGAAGUGUUGUAUAUACAAAUUCCCUAAUGAAACACUAUGGCUAUGACUCUAUGACAACUAUAUUUCGUAGUCACAUUCCUCUUCUUCCAGUGCAGUUAAAAAUCAUAUGUGAUUUUAGAGCUUCAAGUAAUAUUAGUGAUCAUCAGUAUAACCUUUUUCCUAAUGAGGUCACUGGAGCCCAGAGAGACAUCAUUAACCAAAGACCCACGGUGAUGAUUUAAAAUAAAGGACAAUUUGAAUGUGAA
Molecule: non-coding RNA, 1876 nt
Organism: Ictidomys tridecemlineatus (thirteen-lined ground squirrel)
Lineage: Eukaryota; Metazoa; Chordata; Mammalia; Rodentia; Sciuridae
Source: RefSeq, a predicted model, not a curated record